This 420-nucleotide ribosomal RNA is filed under the name uncultured Nitrososphaerota archaeon. Its description in RNAcentral is "bacterial SSU rRNA". It matches the Rfam family "Archaeal small subunit ribosomal RNA", at positions 459 to 879 of the family's 1478-position model. Lineage: Archaea; Thermoproteati; Nitrososphaerota. The record is from RNAcentral.
CAGCCGCCGCGGUAAAACCAGCACCUCAAGUGGUCAGGAUGAUUAUUGGGCCUAAAGCAUCCGUAGCCGGCUCUGUAAGUUUUCGGUUAAAUCUGUACGCUCAACGUACAGGCUGCCGGGAAUACUGCAGAGCUAGGGAGCGGGAGAGGUAGACGGUACUCGGUAGGAAGGGGUAAAAUCCUUUGAUCUAUUGAUGACCACCUGUGGCGAAGGCGGUCUACCAGAACACGUCCGACGGUGAGGGAUGAAAGCUGGGGGAGCAAACCGGAUUAGAUACCCGGGUAGUCCCAGCUGUAAACUAUGCAAACUCAGUGAUGCAUUGGCUUGUGGCCAAUGCAGUGCUGCAGGGAAGCCGUUAAGCAUGCCGCCUGGGAAGUACGAUCGCAAGGUUGAAACUUAAAGGAAUUGGCGGGGGAGCAC